AGAGUUUGAUCCUGGCUCAGGAUGAACGCUAGCGGCAGGCUUAACACAUGCAAGUCGAGGGGUAACAGAGGUAGCUUGCUACUUGCUGACGACCGGCGCACGGGUGAGUAACGCGUAUACAAUUUACCUUAUACAGGGGGAUAGCCUUUAGAAAUGAAGAUUAAUACCCCAUAGUUUGUUAGAAUCUCCUGAUUUUAACAAUAAAGAUUUAUCGGUAUAAGAUGAGUAUGCGUUCUAUUAGCUAGAUGGUAAGGUAACGGCUUACCAUGGCAACGAUAGAUAGGGGCCCUGAGAGGGGGAUCCCCCACACUGGUACUGAGACACGGACCAGACUCCUACGGGAGGCAGCAGUGAGGAAUAUUGGGCAAUGGAGGCAACUCUGACCCAGCCAUGCCGCGUGAAGGAAGAAGGCCCUAUGGGUUGUAAACUUCUUUUAUAGAGGAAGAAACCCUCCCACAUGUGGGAGGCUGACGGUACUCUACGAAUAAGCACCGGCUAACUCCGUGCCAGCAGCCGCGGUAAUAAGGGCGAAUUC
RNAcentral lists this ribosomal RNA (535 nucleotides) under uncultured bacterium. RNAcentral's name for it is "bacterial SSU rRNA". It matches the Rfam family "Bacterial small subunit ribosomal RNA", at positions 8 to 535 of the family's 1533-position model. The record is from RNAcentral.